GGGAAAACCUGGACCGACCUUCGGGGAGCUUGUACAGGUGCUGCAUGGCUGUCGUCAGCUCGUGUCGUGAGAUGUUCGGUUAAGUCCGCUAACGAGCGCAACCCUCGCUGUGUGUUACAAGUGUCACACGGAACUGCCGGUCAUAAACCCGGAGGAAGGUGGGAUGACGUCAAGUCAGCAUGGCCUUUAUAUCCUGGGCUACACACACGCUACAAUGGGAAGGGACAAUAGGUUGCGAAGCCGCGAGGCGGAGCCAAUCCAGCAAAACUUCCCUCAGUUCAGAUUGCAGGCUGCAACCCGCCUGCAUGAAGUUGGAGUGCUAGUAAACGCAGGUCAGCCAUACUGCGUUGAAUACGUUCCCGGGCUU
This 367-nucleotide ribosomal RNA is filed under the name uncultured Anaerolineaceae bacterium. RNAcentral's name for it is "bacterial SSU rRNA". It matches the Rfam family "Bacterial small subunit ribosomal RNA", at positions 1000 to 1381 of the family's 1533-position model. The record is from RNAcentral. Lineage: Bacteria; Bacillati; Chloroflexota; Anaerolineae; Anaerolineales; Anaerolineaceae.